GAGUGAAAUAGAACCUGAAACCGUGUACGUACAAGCAGUAGGAGCAGGCUUGUCCUGUGACUGCGUACCUUUUGUAUAAUGGGUCAGCGACUUAAUUUAUGUAGCGAGCUUAACCGAAUAGGGGAGGCGCAGGGAAACCGAGUCUUAAUAGGGCGACUAGUUGCAUGGAUUAGACCCGAAACCUGGCGAUCUAUCCAUGGUCAGGAUGAAGGUUGGGUAACACUAACUGGAGGUCCGAACUCACGUAUGUUGAAAAAUGCGGAGAUGAACUGUGGAUCGGAGUGAAAGGCUAAUCAAGCCAGGAGAUAGCUGGUUCUCCUCGAAAGCUAUUUAGGUAGCGCCUCGUAUCUCACUCUCGGGGGUAGAGCACUGUUUGGGCUAGGGGGUCAUCCCGACUUACCAACCCCAUGCAAACUCCGAAUACCGAGAAGUGCAAUUACGGGAGACAGACGGCGGGUGAUAACGUCCGUCGUCAAAAGGGAAACAACCCAGACCAUCAGCUAAGGUCCCAAAAUUAUGGCUCAGUGGAAAACGAUGUGGGAAGGCCCAGACAGCUAGGAGGUUGGCUUAGAAGCAGCCACCCUUUAAAGAAAGCGUAAUAGCUCACUAGUCGAGUCGGCCUGCGCGGAAGAUGUACCGGGGCUUAAGCCAUAUACCGAAGCUAUGGAUGCGUGUUUACACGCAUGGUAGAGGAGCGUUGUGUAAGUCUGUGAAGGUGUGUUGAGAAGCAUGCUGGAGAUAUCACAAGUGCGAAUGCUGACAUGAGUAACGAUAAAGGGGGUGAGAGGCCCCCUCGCCGAAAAUCCAAGGUUUCCUGCUCAACGUUAAUCGGAGCAGGGUGAGUCGGCCCCUAAGGUGAGGCAGAAAUGCGUAAUCGAUGGGAAACAGGUUAAUAUUCCUGUACUUGUUAUUACUGCGAUGGGAUGACGGAGAAGGUUAGGUCAGCCAACUGUUGGAUAUGUUGGUUUAACUGCGUAGGCGUGCUGAAUAGGAAAAUCCGUUUGGCUUAGCUGAGACAGGACGACGAGUGCCAUUAGGCGCGAAGUGAUUGAUACCCAGCUUCCAGGAAAAGUCUCUAAGCUUCAGGUAAUAACGAACCGUACCCCAAACCGACACAGGUGGAUGGGAUGAGAAUUCUAAGGCGCUUGAGAGAACUCGGGUGAAGGAACUAGGCAAAAUUGUACCGUAACUUCGGGAGAAGGUACGCCGCUGACGGUGAUGGGAUUUACUCCCUAAGCUAUCGGCGGUCGCAGUGAAAAGGCCCCUGCAACUGUUUAUUAAAAACACAGCACUCUGCAAACUCGUAAGAGGACGUAUAGGGUGUGACGCCUGCCCGGUGCCGGAAGGUUAAUUGAUGGGGUUAGCUUCGGCGAAGCUCUUGAUCGAAGCCCCGGUAAACGGCGGCCGUAACUAUAACGGUCCUAAGGUAGCGAAAUUCCUUGUCGGGUAAGUUCCGACCUGCACGAAUGGCGUAACGAUGGCCACGCUGUCUCCACCCGAGACUCAGUGAAAUUGAAAUUGCGGUUAAGAUGCCGUAUACCCGCGGCUAGACGGAAAGACCCCGUGAACCUUUACUAUAGCUUCACAGUGGACUCUGAUAUUACU
This 1605-nucleotide ribosomal RNA is filed under the name marine sediment metagenome. Its description in RNAcentral is "bacterial LSU rRNA". It matches the Rfam family "Bacterial large subunit ribosomal RNA", at positions 536 to 2134 of the family's 2925-position model. The record is from RNAcentral.